GAUGAACGCUGGCGGCGUGCCUAAUACAUGCAAGUCGAGCGAACAGACGAGGAGCUUGCUCCUCUGACGUUAGCGGCGGACGGGUGAGUAACACGUGGAUAACCUACCUAUAAGACUGGGAUAACUUCGGGAAACCGGAGCUAAUACCGGAUAAUAUAUUGAACCGCAUGGUUCAAUAGUGAAAGACGGUUUUGCUGUAACUUAUAGAUGGAUCCGCGCCGCAUUAGCUAGUUGGUAAGGUAACGGCUUACCAAGGCAACGAUGCGUAGCCGACCUGAGAGGGUGAUCGGCCACACUGGAACUGAGACACGGUCCAGACUCCUACGGGAGGCAGCAGUAGGGAAUCUUCCGCAAUGGGCGAAAGCCUGACGGAGCAACGCCGCGUGAGUGAUGAAGGUCUUCGGAUCGUAAAACUCUGUUAUUAGGGAAGAACAAAUGUGUAAGUAACUAUGCACGUCUUGACGGUACCUAAUCAGAAAGCCACGGCUAACUACGUG
RNAcentral lists this ribosomal RNA (497 nucleotides) under uncultured bacterium. Its description in RNAcentral is "partial 16S ribosomal RNA". It matches the Rfam family "Bacterial small subunit ribosomal RNA", at positions 28 to 507 of the family's 1533-position model. The record is from RNAcentral.